Molecule: long non-coding RNA, 17529 nt
Organism: Bombus pyrosoma
Lineage: Eukaryota; Metazoa; Arthropoda; Insecta; Hymenoptera; Apidae
Exons: 2
Source: RefSeq, a predicted model, not a curated record
UUCGAGAUACUGUCCUCUCGUGUCGAGUAAACCGCGCCGGUAUCCCCGAUUUCCUUCGUCGCGAUUCACGUCGGAUCUUCGCGUCCAUGACAGAGUUCGAAUCACGGUGAUAUUUCUUCUCCCGAUACGAUUAUACAAGGCGUAAUAAUGCUGGCUAUUUUAACGAGACGAGGAAAAGUGUGUAUACAUAACGUGACGUUUUGGAGUGGUCAGUGGAGUUGGUUGUCGAGUUUGAGCUAGGCAUUUCUCGUGUGACGGGAACGUGGAACGACGAUGAUUAUCGUUUCGCGAUCAACUACGAAGGAACGCCGUGUCCGAGGAGGAGUUCGUAUGCGACGCGUGGAUGGCUCGUUGCGCUCAAGAUCGUUCAAAGUUUCUUGGUUCGUAUAAUUAUAUCAUGUCAUGUACCUUCGAAGUGCUGUGGAAGGAUAUACGCGUAAGAACGAAUAUGCUGAACGGAGGAGUAGCGGCGCGAUUUUAGAUUUAUUUGGAACGUAUAUCAGGAAUCACGUGGUCGAGUGACGGGAGUAACGGUCGGCUAACGACUCGCCACUCUUUCCAAGUUUAAGAUUCGAUAGUGAACGUUCGGAUAGGAAAUGUUGAUCGGGAACGCCGUAUGUCUCAAGUAGAAGCUAUUUUCGUUUCGUUUCGUAUCCGCGUGCUAGAGACUCGAAACUGUCCACUGAUAUUUAUGAUGCUGUGCGACGCACGUAUAAACACAUACGGGAAGAUGUACUUAGGCACGGUGGCAAUGGCCUUUAAAGGGAAUAGGGCGACUCGAUCGCUGACGAGAGGCCGCCUAAACCGGAAAACGAUUACGAGUGUGUAAAUAGGUAUUGCUCCCUUCGAGGCCAGUUUGCUUUCUCGUCAGAACCAAACUAACGACGCGUUAUCGUCGUACAGCUGAAAGUGGUCGUGUGUACCUUGGCAGCCACAAGUGAUAACCGCGUUGUUAGCUGCAAAAUAAGCCGCGUGACAAACACACGCUCAACGAUAGCGACGAUAAGAAACGUUGUACAGCGGAUCAACCACGAGUUUGAUGCACUGCGUGGCGGACGUCUCCGAGUUUCCACGAUAACCUUGAUAAACUGAUCCAUAAAUCAACCGAUAACUAGAAACUUCGGUGAAACCGAAUUCCAAUACUUUCAAAGACGUUUCAGAAUCACUCGUUCCUUUAUAUCUUCCCCGCGUCGUUCAUUUUAUCGAAAUACCUCCGCUAGCAAAAUGAACGGACGCUGAUUUAAAAGAAGUCGAAAGAUCUGAAAUUUACUGCAAUCGAUAUAAACAAGAUUCAAACGCGAGCCUCGAUCGCCUAAUAUGACAAACACUUCCAAUUUCCUCCAAAAAUCACGACGCUUUUCCUCCAGUCACGAGCAUAUAAUCGCAGCGUGAAGAGCGCGUGACGCGUGCUGGCUACAUUACAAAGUCCUUCUGCUCCCCACUACCACGCGGUAUUUCUCGCGCAUCCCCUCCACCGACGAUAUUUCACCACCCCUACCAGGAACUCCGGCACAGGGCGAACAAGGACGAGGACGGACGAUCGUUUUCCGCACGAGACCGAGCGGAACGGAACACGUGCCGCGUCGGUGGGGGUGGAGGAGGAGCGAUAAAACUGGAGGGGAAACGUGGUGGCAGCACGACGAUAGGGGAAGUCGAGGACUCCCCACCAGUGGUUACCACUCCCCUUCCACCAACCAGGGGAGCGCGUUCUCCCCCACAUAACGGCGCUAACCGACGGGACCUUUGUUGCCCGCCACGCUCGAACGGUGUCCCGCUCGAGAGUUUGGACGCUGGUGCCGCCCAGCGGUGAUCGCAAGAACUUUCAAAACGCGAUGGUGGGGGACCCGCGGCUUGUAGCGGGGGAACCGUGGCGAUACGGUGGGGGUAGAACGUAAAGGAAUUGGUGGGGAUGAAUGCAGAGAACGGAGCGAGUACGAGGACGGGGGCAUGUUGCUCUCAGGACGCGCAGAACGUCAGAGUGGGACGAAAAGGACGGGUGUCUCUCGCUUUCUCGCUCUCUGUAUCUCUUUCUCUCUUUCUUCGUUUCUUUCCAUCAUUUGUCUCUCUCGCUCACUCCUCGUGGAGAGGCAGAGAAAGAGAGGCCGAUGGCGGGGUGAGAGCCGGCUUACUACGCGGCGAAACGCUACCACGGCGUUCAGUCGUCAGCGAUCAGACCGCCGGGCAGUGUGAACCUUCCUGGGCAGUCUCUUCAUCUACUACGCUCUUCCUCUGCUGUCCCUUCCUGAACAUGAAGCAGUAAUCAGCAUCUGGGAAAGCCGGAGUACAGCUUCCGUGAUCGGAUUUGCCUGAUCCGUUCUACGAUGGUCAUAGACUACCACGAUCUUGAAGAAACAUCACGCGUAAGGGAACCAUUGUAGAAGAAUUUACGCGAGAAAUCGCAUCCAGUGGUGAAAGAGAAGAUACGCGAUUGGACACGCCGAACGAAUUGCAGAAGGUUCAAGGAGACAGACUUGGUCUCGGACGAUUCCAACUCUGUCUCUUUGAAUCUACCCUGAUAGGAGAUUCGUCGCAACCGGUGACAAGCUAUCGAACGAUCCAAGUCUUCGAGAACGCUCGGCAGUCGUACGAUAGCCGUACUCGAAGCUAACAGAUGUUCAAGAAGAUCUUACUAAAUAAACGGUUGUCGCGACUGAAAUCACCAGAGACGAUCAUUGUGGGGGCAUUUAAAAUCGCAAAGAAUUCCAGAAGACGUUGGAUAUCGAGAAGUCGCUUCGACAACGCACAAAGAUGAUACGCAAGACUCUGUUCCAAAGCGCAAGAUUCUAAAUCCCAGCGGAAGUCGAUGUUCGCAAUGAAGUUUCGUUAUUCGAAAUUUCGACAUUCGGCGAGUGAACCAAAAGAAAAAAGAAACAAAUUGUCCCUUCGUAGUGAGAUUGUUGGGAAGACACGUAGGGCUCGUUCGAACGGUUUGUGCUCGGCCUCGCGUCGAGCCACGUGGUGUUCCGAAUCGCGCGAACGAUCUGCGCUUGAUAAUCUUCGGCACGUAUACGUUCACUUUGCGAAACCGCGGCCCGAAAAAAAAAAAAAAAAAAGGUGAAAACGAUGGCGAAUCGACGAGCACGACGAACCGUCGCAAUUCCGAUGAUCGGUGAAGCCGUUCGAGAGUAGAAUUUCCUUCGUUGCUCGUCAGAUAUGUGGUGCCGUUCGAUCGUUACGUAACGAGCAUCGAAUAAUGAAAAACCGUUCACGCAUUGGCGAGUCGUACGGCGAGAUUUUUGCACCGAACCGUUACUCCUAGUGCGGGAUAGUGUAAAUCUGUCGAGAAAGAUCGACCAUCCACCACGGAAGAAACAUAUGAAAAUGUGUGAUUAAAUUUGAAAUAAAGUAAAAGGCGAAGCAAAAAUAAUUGAGAAAAAGUGGAAGGAAUAGCAACACGAUGAUUCUUAUCGUCAACGAAAGUAGUUGAAGAGUACGAAGAAAACGUUACGCUUUACGGACGUGUUAGCAGCCGACGGCUCUUUCGCCAACAGAUCGUCACAAAUCACCGAUGAAGAACAAGUGAGGUGUGCUACGCUCGGUUGGAAGUGUGCUUGUUGCUUAGUGGCGGUAUUUGGUAAGGAUCCCCUUCCGUCAAAUUGACGGGAAAGUCGGAAGUGUCGAUUUCGAUCGCAGUGCACGAAUUCACGGUGAUGGAAUCGGUAAUGAAUUUUUUUUGAAAAUGUCUAUGGUCACAGUGAAGUGGUCCGUGAUUUAUAUUUUCGUUAAACGUUUCGUUCAAUUUGAAUUUUCAGUCGCACAUGUUUAAUAUGAUAUAUAGAUAUAAAUAAUCGAUAUAAUAUUUCAAGUUCGAAGAGUAAAGCAGAAGAAUCAGACGUUUGAUCGACGAAUUUUAAAGGAGUGCUUUCUAACGGCUAACGAUUGCGUAAAAUUUGAAAAAAUACCUGGUAUCUACAAAACCGUGAGCGGUCUACGGUUAAAAAGUUUCCCCAUAAAUUCGUCACUGUCAGAGAAAUGAUAUACGCGGACUGAAAUCUCGUCGAAUUAUCUCGUUCCACUUAUCAGGGAAUACUUCCAAACAAACCACGGUCUGGCGGCCACGCCCCGUUCUAAAAAUCUCCCCUUUGAACAAACUACCAAAAAACAGGACGCACAGACACCCGGCUAUCUCGAAAAAAGUCCACUUAUCUCCAUUUACACUGCAUCAACGGAUUCUACAAAAAUCAUUGCUCCACCUCCCGCGGGCAAUAAAAGUAUCUACACUUCCGUUCCAACUACCCCCUAGACACCGUUCUCACCGUCGUCACACGGGAGGUCCCUAAUGACCAACCCAUACUUCUCUCUCUAAACUCUUCCACCAAACGCUCAACGUGUAACAAUAACAAGAAAGAACGAAAAGCAGAUAUACAAGAACUAUAAAUCUAAUAUCUUUUCAUUUUCCAAGAUACAUUGAAAUAUUUCCAGUUGUCUAUGUUUUUUACCCUUCGACUAAUGUUCUAUUAUACAGGCUACUACGAUUUAAUGACUGCAUAGUCUUGAUUGAACGGAGAAAAGGAAAGACGAUGCAAACAGAGACAAAUCAAUUUCAAAGAUGUAAAACAUCGUAGAAUUUACUUUCAGCAGAAGUAAAUGAAUCGGUGCAUUGAAAAUGAUCCGAAUAAAGAACUUGUUAUACCUAAUUGUGAGAGAGUCAGGAACCAAAGUGAGACAGAUGAACUCUUCCCGGGUUAACAGGUUUAUUAUGUUUAUGAAAAUAUGAAUUUGCAUAAACAACCGUUCCUUAUCCUUCGAACGCACGAAUUAAUUAUCGAAGCAGGUAUUCUGUAUCUCGAAUCCAUUACCUCUUCUCGUGAUCCUCAGAAAUUCUCAUCCAUUCAGCCCCCCCCCCCCCGAUGGCACCACUGGUACCAUUUAAAAAGAAGAAUGUCCUAUAAGAAUACUCUAAAAUGAACGAAAGACAGGCAACAGAGAGGAUACUAAAAAGAGAAACAAAAAAAGAAAGGAAGUGUAAAGAAAAGGGAAGAUGUUUUCGCGCUUCGAGGGGUGGUUGGGAAGGGUCUGUUACGUCACCGAGAGGAGCGAGGCGCCGAAGAAUCCAGCAAGACGAUACGGCCCUGCCCUUCGCCGGGCAGAUAGGGUAUAAUCAUGGCGAGUUUCGUAUCUCGAAGGGGCACACGGGAAGAUGGUCCAACAUCUGCCGCUGCAGGGAAUCUCUGCCCACAUGCUGGCCGUCGUGCACGUACGUACGCACGCACACGCGCAAAAAGUGACAUAGCUACACGCUGGGACGUCAUGUAAAUUCAUUCGAAACACAUGGCAGGGCCGAGGCGGCGUUUUUCUCGUGCGCGCAAAAGGGUUCUUCCUCGGUGGAAUCCGAGGAGCGCCGCACGGGGGGCUCCGGGUAAAAAAGGCAGACGAUAACUUCGACUUUUAGACAAGGACCACUCUCUCUCUCUCUCUUUCUCUUUCUCCUUACCUUCUCUUUCGCCUUCUCGACCUCUGUCUCUGUUACGAGGGACCACCGGUUCGAAUGAGUCCACCGGUUAGCCGCUUCUUUUUUAUUUAAUCGCCUGGAUCAUCCAGUGCUCGGGGUGUCCGAUGCUUUGCAAUUUCGGCUUAGCGAAAAUUUAGAGGGUAAAAGCUUCUCUUGAGAUAUGAUUCACCUUGGAGGGUGGUGGCUAUUGGAUUUUGUAUCGGGGUAUUAUGUAUGAGAAUCCUACUGUUGUUCUAAAAAUAUGGCGAGAAAUUGUGGAAACUAUUUUUACGAAUUCUGUAGACAAGUAAUAAAUCAAGGAUAUGUUGGAUUAAAUAGGUCAAAGUUCGAAUCUGAUUUAUAGGAUUGUUUGUAGCGAGCAUGAAAAUACAGCAUCUAAUAGAUAUAACUAAGAUCAGUCGCGCAAUGCUGUUGAAGGUGUAUUUACGCGAGAAGUAUUUUUGGAACGAUUUCAAAGAGAGUACUAAUCACAAAUAGGUAUGGGAGACGUAUUAAUCGGAGCUAGCGACGACCGUUUUCCCUUUCUGAUUAGAUUUUUAAUAAACAUCAGACGAUCUUCUCUAAUUAACUUACCAUUAAAAGUAAGCACACGAUACAAUCAUUAAAUCGAAUAGUGUGCAAUUACAUGUACAAGCAUUAAGACAAUUAGCUUCAACGAAUUAUACAUCUCAAUAUCAAACUCAUCAUGGAAUAAAAAAAUUUCUUAAAAGAUCCACUAGAAAUCGUAAUAAAAUACAGUAGAAAUCGUAACGAGAUCUAACGAAAGAUCUAAUUGGCCUAUCCAGUGAUUUUCUUUUAACGAAUCUUCGAUCUGAUUGUUCCGCGACGUUAAAAGAAGAAAUAAAGGAAACCUAAUAAAAAAAGACCUAAUAAAAAAUAGAAUCACCGAUGUAAAACGCAGAGAAAGGAGCAAGUAAACCAACAAGGAAUAAAAAUACACCGGCUCGAAAUAACAGGGCAUUCGGGUAACGAGUGUUCCCUCGUCUAACGAGGGUUCCGUGGAAAUCGUUAACGGGGUAAUUCUCGCGUUCCGCGGCUAAUUACACGCCGAAACCAUGAAAAUUCCACCGCUCUUGAUUCAUUAUGCUGCCACGAAGACAAUAAUGGAUCGCCUUUUGUUUUCGAUUCGUCAAGUUCAAAACCGGGGGAAUUUCGAUCCGGCUACGAGAUAGGCUGGCUCGUUGAAACGUUAACCGCCGCGCCGGAAAACCGCGGCAAGCGGAAAAAAAAGAGAACCAGAGGUUAGAUAGACGGAACACAGGAAAACGAUGGAAAAGAAGGAAAGAGAUAUACGAACAACGUGUACAGGGAGAGGGACUGUGUGAUGAAGGGGGAGAGAAGAGAGAGAGAGAGAGAGAGAGAGAAAAGAAGAGAGACAGGGAAAAUAGGAGUAAGCUCGCCGCGCGCGGAAUUGCAGAACUGCCUUUAAUUAAAGCCAUCAAGCUAGUUGAACAAUUAUCAUUAAUUAUGGACGUUGCUUGGCCGCUCACACGAGCCGUCCUCGUCGUCGUGGCUACCUAGAGAGAACGGUUUCACUUCGUUCGCGUGCACGGCGUCAAUUUGAAAAGAGGUGGUUGUAAGAGGAAAGAGGGAACGAGAAAGGAAAAAAGAAGAAGAGAGAUAAAAAAUGAAUACACGGGAGAUGGGGAAGGAAAGGGAAAGAAGUACACACGGCCCUGCCCUCAUGAUGUAUUUUCAUCGACGCUCUACUUUGUAGCGUCUUCCUCCUCUUCCUUUUCUUCUUCCCCGCUCCCCCCCCCCGCUUUUUCCUUUACCUGUUAGUCUCAGUAACUGAUUUAAGAGGUACAGUCCAAUUUGAGAUAGCUAGCAAGACGAUUUUUACCGCUAAUUAAAGGUGCGUUAAUUAAAAAAGUACAGCCCCUGGUUUCAUGCUCGAAUCGGCCUUUGAUCGCUUAUAAAUCGUUGGAUCAUUAGCCAGCUCGGUUGCUCGCGGACGAAGAAAACCCUUUUGCGGUUCGUGCGCGACGAUCAAACGCGGGAAGAAUAGACGAUUCUUCUUUGAUUCCCUCUUUAAGCGGUGUGAAACAAUAGUACGUACGGAGAAUAGGGAAGAACGAGAAGAAGGGGAGAAGAAUAUUCCGUCAGAAUUCAUGGUCUUGAGAAAUACAACGAUUGUUCGGAGGCGUUUAAAAUUCUUUGAGAUUAGGGUUGAGAAAUCGUCGGCGGUAGAUUCUUUCCACGAGCGACGAGAAACAAGCGUAAAAAAAAAAAAAAUUGUAUCAUAAUAAAAAUGACGAUUUACGUUCCAUGUCAUUGUUAUAAAAUUGGGGUCAAUGAUUUCAAUGAUCUACGCACUUCGGGCACGUUUUCUCGUAUCUUAACGACGUAAAAUAUCACUGAAGAAUGUUAAUCUGAUGUUUUCAAAGCUAUACAUAUAUUUCGAGUUUGUCUUGCCACAAUGGAAAUAAAGAAUGAAGUGGACUCUAUUAGAUAGGAGUUAUUACAGCAUCUGCUUAUUGUUAUAUUUUAGAAGAUUCUGACUGAACGAAUCUUCUCUAUUAUUCGAAAGCAAUUUUAUUCGUUGGACUAAAAUGUGAAAAAUUUUCUUAGAUUUUCGAAUCUUUAUGUGUUAAGUUGGUUACUUUGGUUAGCUCGAAAUCAUUCUAAAGUUAAUAUACAAUAUUAGUUUUCAUGGUAUUAUAUUUAUCUUCAUAGUUAGCCGUGUUAUUUUUAUAGCUAAAUAAAAACAGAAAUAGAAUAUAGAUAUCCUAUUUUGCAACAGCAUAGCGCAAUUUUUCUUCUAUUUCUAGCUCUAAACCGUAAAGAUAAACUUGUCCUAAUUCAUUAAGCGAUAAUCACAGUCAUAAAAAAGCUGAAACAACACGCUAGACAAAGUUUUCUCCUUCGAUGGUAUCUCACUGUUUAUCAUCGUUCUCUGUGUCUGUAAUAAAUAGAUUCAGACAUACACCAUUAUGUGCAUGUAUAGCCUUUAACCUUUACUCGAUGCUAGGGUAAAGUAUCAAUUUACUUUUCCUUCAAACGUCACCCAGAGAAUAUAAAAUGAAGUAUCUACAUUUACCCAUUAUGCCAACUAGUCUUCAACGAUCGUUAACAUGGCUUAAGAACACCUUACUCUUGAAAAUAAAUCUUCCCUUGUCCGAUUAUAGUUAUUUUACUUCUCUUUUCUAUAUUUGAGUGCAUUAAUUGAGAGAUUUAACAAAGAAAUGAUAUAAGCGAACAGAUUUUUUUGGAACAGCGGAAAAAUUUGUAUACUUCUCAUUACUUCAUUCACGAAAUUACGAUUAACAAUACGAAUUAUGCUGUUACACGAGAAAAAUUGAGAAAAUAAAUUGCCGAUGAGAAUAUUAAAAGAAAGCGAAGAUACUUGAAUUGAAUCUAACUUCGAAUUUAAUUGAAAAUCGGUUUCUUUAGAAUUCAAAAAUCCAAGGGAAAAACGUACAGGCGAUACAAUUUUUAACUUGAGAUAAAUUCUCUAGAUACCUAAACAUAGAUACUAGAAUAAUCUAAAAAUAAAAAAUCUACAUAUCUUGGACACUGCCAUACGCACUUAUAAAUCUUUAAAAACUCAGAACAAAAUCCUCUAAAUAAGCAUAGAUAUCACAUAUUAACAUUUCCCCCUAUUUAUCUCUUCUUACAAAAAGAUAUAGAUGUAGCAUUUUUUCUUGACAGAAUUCUUUAUUAAUAGUGCAUUUCUCCAAUAACCAGAGAUUAAAACUACAGAUACUUUCGUUUCCUCAACACGCUCACAGAAUAGUCACGAUUUCUAAAAAGAAAGAUAAGAGACGAAACGGGACGAAAAACAAGCUUCCCUAACAGAGAGAAGUCCCUAAAAAAGGCUCGGUGGCUGACCACGGCUAAUCUUCUCGCGCCCCAUAAUUAAUUACGCGUUAUCUGGAACAGGUCUCGAUUACGGCGUGUGUCUUAACGGGACAAUGGUGAACGGGGUCCCCGAUAAUGGGCCAGAUAGCGUGUCCUUAUUAGGAAAAAUUUAAGGUUCGAGCAGCGUGUUUACGAGCUGGCCCGGCGUUCGGCCCGCGCCAACGACAGAAACCGAGCCAUAUUUCUCCAUGAAAUUUAACGAACCUCUGGCGCAAUGGGACACCAUUAAAAAAUUCCUCAGCGUCAUAUGCCAUCGUGCACGCAACUCCGAUAAACGCCGCCGGGCGAACGCAGGCUGACUACAGAGUAAACGAACAGGAAUGAUAAUAUUACCAGACGUUUCACGCAAGCACCUUUACAAAAGUGCCAUCGGUGAAAAAAACUAAUUUAUUGGACGUGUAGCAUAAUUGUAAGCAGGACCGAUUUAUGAGGCCGUGUACGCGUGUCCCGUUCGAUACCUUGCACAUCGGACACGCUGCGUGAAAGAGCUCCCGCUACGAAGUUUCGCGAUAAUUUUCUGUUUUGAUAUCCAUGUUUUGAUUCUCGUCCCUUUUCUUUUGUUACUAGCGAAGGAAAGUGGAAAUUGUUUAUGGGUAAUAAUGGGAACUUCCAUAGGAUAGUAAGAACAGCACGUUUGGAGUUAUAGUCAGAAACGCGGAGAAUUUUAGUUUAGCGCUUUGACAAAUUUUGGUUCAAUGACGUGAUUAUUACUUGCUACAAAAGAUGUCUAUUAUUUGUUAAUCGAUAAUUUUUCUUAAAAUUGUAAGACAAUCGCGAAAUUCUAGGUGUUAUUGAUACUGUACUUAGAUUUUUAAGAAAAGUAUACAAAAUUUAAUUUUGCUCGCGAUUGAUCCUAUAUCUAAAGAUUCGAAAUAUGUCGACCAAUAUCAGGAAAAGGCAAGAACACUGUUUCUUGUAUAAAAUAGUUUCUUCUCUAUAGAUUCACCAUUUUUCUGUGAAUACUAUUUCUCUUCUUACUAUUGUCAUUAAAGCUUCAAAGAAAAUAUGUUGAAAAAGAUAAGAAAAAUAUUUCUUAUACCAAAUAGUUUCUCUAUAAAUCCAUUAUUCCGCUAUAAAUAUCAAUAACCUUCUUCGAUAAUGAAGAGAUAAAGAUACACCUGUAUUAUGACAGGAUAUAAUAUUUCUUAAAAUAUUCAUGAAAAUUAUUAUUUUAGAUCUCCCUCGAUAUAAACGAAGAACGUAAAUUUUCGUAACAUAGUCGGACGGACGUUUCAAUUAUUUAAGCUGACAACGAGCGCACUCGGCCGAAAGAGUUGAGAAACUCGAAAGUGCAUUUCGUGCACGUAACGAACUUAAAUAGACGGAUCGUGUGCACCGGUUGGCCCGCGAGUAUUAUCAGAUCAAUAAUUGCCAAGGAGGGCCGAACUUGCCGAACUUCGGGCCGCGUUUCAAGCUAAUUCCUGCCUAUCAGACCCGUGUCUGUCACCCGUAGCCUUCUUGGAAGGAAAAAACGAGAAGUUGGUUUCGCGUCACGGGGGAAAAUACGGUUGCCACGUACCUAGGUUGAGACGAACCUCGGGAAUUAAAAUCAUGAAAAAUAAAGAUUCCAGAUGGAUUGAAAAGACACGUUUAAAUAGCGAAGCUAUAUAAAAUAUUUAAAGUUCGAGUGAAAAAGUCGAGAAAUUUGAAGAGUAUAAGGGAAUCAUCAAAGCUGCAAAACCAGUGUAGCUUGUACGUAACCAAAAUUCAUGUUAAAAAUUUUCUACAGACAUAUUUCGACAUAUAUUUCCAUAAAUUGUAUAUAUCAAUUAAAAAACGAUGAUAUCAAACCCAUAUAAGGUUAUUCUUUAAGAAGAAAAGCACGCAAUAUUUUAAAUUUAUGAAACAUUAAUUUCCUAUCUUACGAUGAGCUUCAGAUAACGUACAUUCACUAUAGCUCCAUUACUACAUAUAUUAUUUCAUCCUCUGUGCAUCGUGCCGAGUACAUUACAAACAUUAAAUGAAUAUUUUGUACAUUCUUAUAUACUAUAUACAUUCUAUAUAAUUUUACACGUUUCAAUAUUCCACGUUCGCAUAAACGCAGUCUAUUCGUUAUACUUACGCGUAAAUAAGAAGCGAAGAAAAAAAAAACGAAUAUUUCGUAAAUGAAAUAACUACUACAAGUCGGCGACUUAUUAUCCAGAAGGAAAUUCUUCGCGAAGUUAAAUUAUAAUCUCCAUUCGAACCACCGAAGCUUAUUGACUAUACAUUGAACAAAAACUCGAAGUACCCUACGUCGAUGAAUAUGAAGGUAUAAUCUCUCAGCGAAAAAAUACUGGCAAGGCGCAACACAAUGGUACGAAAAAACGACCUCCCGCGUUAAAGGGGUUAAAAGGGACGAGCAGCACGUAUUUCUACGAUCGUGCCGGGCAACAGGAGGAGCAAAAUCGACGACGUUUCGCGCAUAAUUAAGCAGUUCUUGCGGGCGUAUUUCAGGGCCGCGGUGACGUCUCUAUCCCAUGCGGCUCGCUCAUAUCGCGGCGUUUACUCGGAUUUACAUCGCGCAUACAUAUGUAUGGAAGAAACUACGAUUUGUAUCGUCACGUUGGCCAAUUAAGGGGCCGGGGUCGUUAACGAAGAGAAUAAUUAGAAAGCGUUGGCAAGCCGACCGGUGCGGUGGACGACGUGGUGCACGUCCACCUCGCUUUUCAGCUUCUUUUUACUUUCUCGGCUUGGCUUGGCAUCGCCGCGAGCCACGUUGGUACAUGAAAGAAAGAAAGGAAGAAAAAAUCGUAGAGGAAACGAGCGAGAAAUGGGAGGGGGAGGGGAAAUAAGAAUGAAACGAAAAAUUCGCGCUCAGGUUCUAUAGGUGGUGUAAAGACACGGGGAAUUAAUAUGUCUACCACGUGUAUUUGCAUUCGAAAUGCCUGAAUAUGAAAUGGACGCGCCUCCAGGCGGUCAUGGAAUAUCCGAGAAACGGGCAAUUAAAAGGGGGUAAUUGGAUAGAUUCCUUUUCGUAGGACCACCCAGUGCAUAUGUGUAUUAUCCGCCGUUUCUUCCCGCGAGUAUAAACUGUUAUAGAUGUUUGAAUGCUUCACAAAACAAAUUAAUUGUAAUACAAUGUACACCUGCGAUCUUAUCUGGGCAACUAUAUGCAGUUGACACACUUUGAUGAAAAUAAUGGAUAAUAUUAAGUAGCGUAAAUAUAAUACCAAUAAUUCAAGAUCAAUGAAAAUUGAUUUUGCAGAAACAACUGAGUCGAGUGACUUUAAAUGGGUUUGCUCACUGCUGGGAUCUUCGAACGAUUAAAAUGUUCAUCCAUGCUCUUUACAGAAAUUUUGUGAAAUGCUAUACGUUCAAUAAUGUUCAAUAAUAAAACUGACUUUUGUUAUUAUCGAACCUUAUAGGAAUAUUUUGCUACGUGACAAGCAUUUUGUCUUUAGAUUUCUGAGUGUUCGAAUUAUAAGUCGGAUUAAAAAGAAUCUUUUAGAUACAGAAGGACUCAUCGGGUAAUGCAACUAGUCAUAUUUAAAUAAUAACUAUAUAUAGUAACAAUGGGUAAUUUAAUAUUACUGGCAUGACAACUCCAACUCGACAAGAGGAUAGUGAAAAUUAUUUCUAAUUAUUAAUUCGUCAUUGAUAAUCUGUAUUCUUUGGUACCACUCGCAUACUGUUAUUACAAAUCGAUCAAAGUGUCCGGACACUUAUGCUCAAUACUGCUUGAGAAUUACUAAAUAUCUAGAAAGGCAGUUCUUUAUGAAUUACGUAUAAUUUGGUUCGAUUGGUGAUGAAAGAUAUGUACGAAUUGUAGCGACGAGUUUAUUAUAAUAUUUUAGAAGGGUAGGAAAUUGUUACUUCAGAGUCUGCUUUACGAGUUAUUUCUUUGUUCAGACUGCCGGAGAUUUUAAUUUUGAUUGGUUCGCGCCGCGAUGGUUAAUUACUUCCUCGAGAAGGAUUUUAAUUAGUUAUGGACCUCUUUCGACGGAUACAAUUUCAUAGUUUCUUCCCUUCGAAUCUAAUCAGAAUCUAAUUUACCCAGUCUAUUACAUCCCCUGACAUCAAACUGUGAUUUUCUAACAAACGCCAGUUGCUUGACUGAUUAAUAUCACUUUUUACGCGUCUCCAAGCUCAUUUAUAGUUUUACGUUAUAAAAUGAUUAACUAUAUGCGAAGAACGUGUUAUGUAAAACAUAUUACAAUAUAUAUAAAACUACGAAGGACAUGUUAUAUAAGAUAUACCAAGUUUUUCGCUUCUUGCUUAUUAUUCGAACAGUAUCAAAAAACAUCGCGAACAACAAACCUACAGCAGAAAAAUUGUGCGCAGUGUCGCGUGAAUAACAAUCAAAAUCCUUUGAUUUGUCCGAGCAGAUUCUCUGAAUAAAUCACUCUAAAUCAUGCUUCUUACCUGUGAUCGGGAAAAAUUACCCGUCGUUAAUUUUCACCUAGGUCUUUCAAACCUACCGUCAACUAUUGUAAAAUGAAAUUGCGAUACAAUUGCAUUUCUUCUCCACAAAAUCCACCGUCAGAUAUACACACGUAUACUACCAUUUUUAAGCAUACGGAGAUUCGAGACGAUUUUAAUUAAUGAUCCAUGAAUUUUAGCGAAACAAUAAUAAAUGAGAAGUUAAAUACACAGAAUUUAGAGAGAUGUUAAUUUUUAAAUAUUAUUGCUGAUAUUAAUCACCAUAGUCCGUCAUUUCUAACUUUAACAAAACGUGCCGAGGAUAAUCAAAAGCCAAAAUACCAUAUUAUCUGACGCAUAGAGACGCAAUUUUUUGCAUUAAUAAACAGCUUUAAUAAACGUUGUACUCGUCCUGAAUUUUGUAAUUUCAUAAUUAAAUCACGUUCUAUUCAAAAUAACUUGCGUUCACAUAAUUUUGAGCGGUACUGUACACACAAUGGAUUUUUCUGCUCCAAAUACUAAAAUACCAUCGAUCAGAUUCACGACUGUUGCUCGACUACACGCGACUUUACAAAAAAAAAAAAAAGCCAGCAUGCACGGCGAAUUAAUCGUCUCGAUGGUCGAUUCGCGGGCCGGGGAUCGGAUUUGUUGUUUUCACCGGUGGUGCAGAUUUUUUUCCCUGCCGGAGACACGUUCGCGAAUUAAUGGUGAUGGUAGUAGUGGAGUGGCGGUAGCGGGGAGGGAAUCAAGCGAGGGGAAAAAAUUUGAUAAACCGCGCCUCUGCGGUGGCUUUUUUUCCCUCUACUCUCUGCCUCUCUCUGUAAACCGGCCAGUUGAUAUUUGCCAUGAAAAUCGUUCCGCAUGUCGGCAAACAGAACGCCACCAUGCGUUGAAUCGCCUGAAAAUAUAUUCCGAUUGGUCGAUCGGUGUUUCCCGAAAUCGCGACCCGAUAAAGAGCAGCGGUGGAACGAAAACGACGAGGGGAGAGGAAAAGAACAAAACAGAAAAAAAGAAAAAUAUGCGAACACCGACACGAUUUUCGGAGGCUGUAAAAAACACGUGUUUGCACGAGGAGCCGCGGUUGGGCCCCGAUCAGAUGGCUACAGGACUGAUUUGCAUGCGACCUUUGCCUCCAGGUGUUCCAGAAUUUACAUACGAAAGGGUGGCGCUCACAGAUUUCUCCCCCUCCUGGAUCCCAAUUUCUUUCUCUUUCUCUCUUCUCCGUUUCUCUUCUCUCGUUUCGUCUCCCUCUGUACCUCUAUCUUCCGCUUUCAUUCUCGCAUUCUCUCUCUUGUUCCCUCCACGACGGCUCUGUUCAACCCCCGGUGUACGCAUUUAUGGGUUACUGGCUCAGCGUGUCGCGUCGUUAACUCGCCGUUAAAUUUUCGUUAACGUCGCUCUUUAACCGGUAAGCAUUCGCCGGCUGGAUGGAAAUUACGAUCGACGGAAAUUAAUAGCAAGUUUCGUACAAUGUUUCCACGUCGAUGUUCAUUAUACAUGUAGAGUAAAAAGUAAAUUUGCGUUGAUGUUUUUACAUGUGGAACAUUAUGCAAGUAAUGUUCUCGAUGAUAUAGUUGGACGAGACUGUAUUUGCCAAGUCACUGAUAUUUAACACAAUGCUGCAUAUAAAAUGGAAAUUCUUUCGCAUUAAAUGCACUAAAGAUGUCCGAUUCGAUAGAAUUAUAUUUGAUCAACUAUCGAAAGUCGAUUAUAAUACUGGCAGCCACUUGAUGUUCAAAGAUAUUCAAUUUGUGGAGAUGACACUUCUCCGUAAUCGAUUACUCGUUGAAUUUAGUUUCCGUCAAACAUACGAUUGAAGAGAGCUUCGAACAUUUCUACGAUAUUUGUUGUAGCAGUGUGUGACUCCGUACACAAGAGCACAGAAGCUUCAGUUACUCGAAGAAAAAGAAAAAAUACUCAAGAGCCGCGGUAAAUUUACACAAGCAAAUUUGAUCUAUCAAGCGAACUACCUUGCUUCGAAGCAAAUAACUUCUCAUCGAUAUUCAUAUUUCGAUUGAAUUUCAAGAAUUCAAGUUACAUAAAGAAAGAAGAAAACAAAGCUAUUAGAUGUAAAAUAUAUUCGUGACAAACCGGCUGAGGCAAUAUUUUUUAUCGAAAAUGAUCCAACUGUAACCAGUCGCAAAAAAAUUCCUGCUCUCGGCUGAAACGAAGAAAACAUACGCCGACGUAGGCGGAUUCCGCGAAUAGUUCGCGAGCGGAACGACGAUUGAACGACUGAAAGGCCGUUAUAAAUUCAAUCACGCGCACGCCGGGCCAGAAACGAGCAAACUGAAAAGAGUCCCAUGCAAUUACUUGUGAUUACGGAUCGGUAUCGCGCGCGAUCGAGGCCGCGGCGAAUAUCGUUCGCGUGGCACGUAACGAGCGUUUCCACGCGAGCCAUUGAUUUAUUUAUCUCGGAACGCGAGCGUAGAUCGUGUUUAUCGUUCAAGAUUAUCCAUCUCACGUCGAGGCGGAAACCGUUUCCAGCUAAUCGCAUUAUUGUUUUGUGGACAUGUCGAGUGUUACUACGUUACUCAAACAACAGACGUGUAACAAAAAAAAAAAAAAGAAAGAACUUUGAAGAAUUAGAUUCUUUAAGAGUGAAAGUUCUUUAAAAUUCUAUUAGAUCCUAGAAGAGUGACAUUGAUUUACCUUGUUUAUCGCCUUCUUAUUUUUUUUUUUUUUUUUAUCAAAGCGCCCGAUUCUCGGAAUAUCGAGUCGCGAUUUUUUCCGCCGCUCGUCCCGGGAGUCCGAUUGCACAGUGCCACAAGUAAAUGACAGUCUUGUCACGAGACGGUUUGUUUUUCUUUAAAUUGUCGUUUUCUUGCCGACUGACAAUGAGGUAGUUGCAGUUCUUCGAAAUGCACAUUAAUCGCGUGCAAGCAUGCUCCGAUUUCUUGCCUCUACUUUCUAAUUUACUUUUUCAAUCUGCAACUGGUUAUUCGAUGUAUCGGAAAAUUAUAUAGGCAAGUUUAAUGUGUACACUUGCGCGUCUCGUAAAUUCUCCUUUUUCUGAAUAUGGAAUUCGCGAUACAAGAGUAUAGAGUACUUAUUAGAUACGUGAAUGAAUGUUUGAUUAUAGUGGAUAAAUAAUUGUUUUAAAAGUGCAGGUAUGGAUAAUGACGAUUCUUUCUAAUGAAUCACAGCGAACAAAUUUAGGAAUGAAGGCGGAAAUAAUAUAGCAGUUAAGUCUGAAACAAUACCGAUUUCGACUACUGUCGCUCUAACUUCAUGGAAGUUGUAAGAAGGAUUUUUCUAUUUGGCGUGAUAUUACAAUGUCUAAUCGUGAAACGGGCUAUCCACUAAUUCAACAAGAAUAUUGAAAAUAUCGUUAUAAACUGGUAGCUCGACGAACUUCUCAUGCGUCUAUAAAGAAAUAAUCGUUUUUCUUUUUAUCGUCCUGAUUCGCGAGGUCACAAGAUCUCAAUGCAAAAUUCCUUUACAUCAGCUCUAUUCAUACUCCCUCAUCGAUAAGAAAAUAUUUUCUUCCGAACAACAAGAUCAGCAGCUGCAGAAUUCCGCUUAUCGCGGUCCUCCUUUCUCCUCCUUCUCAGAAUCAUCCGAUCAACUCAAUCUUCCAUACAUAUAGGAAUCAGAUUUUCAUAAUUAGACUAUGAAUAUUUAUAUGUUUGUGAAACAUUUCGAUUCUUUUUCUGUACAAAAAAGAAAAGAAAGAAAUAAACGCACAGAACAACAUGUUGUAAAUUCGCAGUAAAGUACUCGCUAGAAUAUCGAAAGACAAAAAAUUCCUAUUUAUAUUUCAUUUGUCAGUUGCGCUUAUAAAAAUCCAACUAGCGGAAACACUGGUAAACUAUUCGCAAUAUAUCCUCGAGCUAAAUAAUAAUAACAAAUAUAAUUAUUCAGACUGGUUAAAA